Molecule: long non-coding RNA, 1284 nt
Organism: Ictalurus punctatus (channel catfish)
Lineage: Eukaryota; Metazoa; Chordata; Actinopteri; Siluriformes; Ictaluridae
Source: Ensembl
AUCUUCUGCUGAUUAACUGCGUUCAGCGUACGUUCUAACAACAACGUUAAACAAAAGAAACUUAUCUUAAAGAUUUCAGUUUGCAUAUUUGGGUGGGCGGGACUUUUAUUUAUUUUUUCAAUUGGAACCUGAUUGGCGUGUGAAAAGUGGGCAUGUCCCGAAAACAAACAUAAUGGCUGCUCUAGAUGCGAGGCUCUCUCUGCACUUACUCCACUGAUGUGUUUUUUGGUUCCACCCCCCCCCCCCCCCCCCCAUCCCCCAGGUAACUAGAGACGUAUUUUUAAAAGAAUUUAUUUUAAAAAUAGUCAGUCUGUUUUGGUUACGUGUUGGGGGGGGGGGGGGUGAGACAUGACGUAAAAUGAUUGGUUGAUAUAUUUUUGUCCCUCCCACAAUUCUACGGUGAUGUAAUAGAUUUAAAUAAAAUCGGAGGACGUUUAGAAGUGGUGAAAUGUCUCUGGAAGAUUACGGAUUUUUAAAAAAAGUGAUUAUUACAGAUCGUGAACAACAAAGAACCGGUUUCAUUUUGACUUCAGGUCGUUUUAUACGAAGUUUAAUUCAAUUUUAAAUACAUUUUAAUUCUCUUAAGUUGAACCGGUGCAGCUGGACAGUCAUUCUCACAACAGCUUCAGUCCCUGUAAUGCAAAUAUUUAAAUAAACACACACACACACACACACACACACACACACACACACACUUUUCUUCUUUAUCGUGCCUCUGAAGUCGAUUUUUUUUUUUUAUAAGCAGAAAGAACAAUGGGGGGAACGGUUUUGUGAUGUAAUAUCAUUUAUAAACAGUAUAUUUUCACACUUUGUAUUAUAAAACACUGGGAGAUCUUCUUUUUUUUUUUCUUCAAUCUAUUUAUUUCUGACCAAAAAACCUUUGGUGGCACUGAGAUUGAUUACUGCUGUUUAUUUCUCAUAAAUAUGUAGAUAAUUAUUUGAAAUAUUAUUGUGUUUAUGUGGAUUUGCAGUAGGUGUCGUGUAGUUGUAUUAUGUUCCUGAUUUGUUUUGUUUUUAAAGUCGUUUGAAUCGUACGUUUUAUCAUUUGUGUAUAAUGUCUUAACUUCACUGGUGAAUCGGAUGUUAAUUAAGCGGCCGGAGUUCUGGUCUUUACUACCUGGAUUUUUUUUUUUAUUAUUAUUAACAAAAAUCCGAAUUUGUGUAAAAGAUCAAAGUGCCUGUAGGACGCAAAUCCUAACUGUAAUUAACUGUAAUGAGACGUUUUACUGACACGAGUUGUUCUGUAAAGUUCUGACGUACAUAAAUGAUCUCAUGAAAAUAAAA